AGCGAACAUUGGCGGCGCGUUUAACACAUGCAAGUCGAGCGGCAGUCCUUCGGGACGAGAGCGGCGAACGGGUGAGUAACACGUGAGUAAUCAACCUAUCGAGUGGGGAUAGCCGUUGGAAACGACGGGUAAUACCGAAUACGAUCUGCGUUAUUAAGAUGCAGAUGAAAGGCGGGGAUCUUCGGACCUGUCGACGAUAGACGAGCUCGCGGCCCAUUAGCUAGUUGGCGGGGUAACGGCCCACCAAGGCGAUGAUGGGUAGGGGGUGUGAGAGCAUGGCCCCCCACACUGGGAUUGAGAUACGGCCCAGACUCCUACGGGAGGCAGCAGUGGAGAAUCUUGCACAAUGGGGGCAACCCUGAUGCAGCGACGCCGCGUGGACGAUGAAGGCCCUUCGGGUUGUAAAGUCCUUUUCUAUGGGAGAAGAUGCGAAGUAGUAACUGACUUUGCAGUGACGGUACCAUAGGGAAUCAGUCACGGCUAACCUCUGUGCCAGCA
This 498-nucleotide ribosomal RNA is filed under the name uncultured bacterium. RNAcentral's name for it is "bacterial SSU rRNA". It matches the Rfam family "Bacterial small subunit ribosomal RNA", at positions 29 to 513 of the family's 1533-position model. The record is from RNAcentral.